AGAGUUUGAUCAUGGCUCAGGAUGAACGCYGGCGGCGUGCUUAACACAUGCAAGUCGAACGAUGACCYGGUGCUUGCACCGGUGAUUAGUGGCGAACGGGUGARUAACACGUGAGUAACCUGCCCUUAACUCUGGGAUAAGCCUGGGAAACUGGGUCUAAUACCGGAUAUGACUCCUCAUCGCAUGGGUGGGGGGUGAAAGUCUUUUUUGUGGUUUUGGAUGGACUCGCGGCCUAUCAGCUUGUUGRUGAGGUAAUGGCUCACCAAGGCGACGACGGGUAGCCGGCCUGAGAGGGUGACCGGCCACACUGGGACUGAGACACGGCCCAGACUCCUACGGGAGGCAGCAGUGGGGAAUAUUGCACAAUGGGCGCAAGCCUGAUGCAGCGACGCCGCGUGAGGGAUGACGGCCUUCGGGUUGUAAACCUCUUUCAGUAGGGAAGAAGCGUAAGUGACGGUACCUGCAGAAGAAGCGCCGGCUAACUACGUGCCAGCAGCCGCGGUAAUA
This 507-nucleotide ribosomal RNA is filed under the name uncultured bacterium. Its description in RNAcentral is "bacterial SSU rRNA". It matches the Rfam family "Bacterial small subunit ribosomal RNA", at positions 8 to 525 of the family's 1533-position model. The record is from RNAcentral.